GCGGCCGUAGCUCAGCUGGUCCAGAGCGCCUGACUGUGGCUCAGGAGGUCGUGGGUUCGAAUCCCAUCGGCCGCCCCA
RNAcentral lists this transfer RNA (78 nucleotides) under Fimbriimonadales bacterium. RNAcentral's name for it is "tRNA-His". It matches the Rfam family "tRNA". From Rfam's summary of the family: Transfer RNA (tRNA) molecules are approximately 80 nucleotides in length. The record is from RNAcentral. Lineage: Bacteria; Bacillati; Armatimonadota; Fimbriimonadia; Fimbriimonadales.